GAGUAAUCACGACAGACACCACAUGGCUUGUAAAGUCUGAAAUAAUUACUAUCUGGCCCUUAGAGUGAAAGUUUGCCGACUUCUGCACUGUGUAGUCACUGGCUCUGUGGUACACUGUAUUUUCCAAAUAUGCCCACAAAUAUAUGGGUAUUGCCCAACCCACAUGCUCUGGUAAAAAAAUGUGAUCUUCUUAUCCCACCUCCACCAAGGGGUGAGGUCUACUUGUAUCUGGGUGGGUGGGCCAAGUGGCUGCUUUGACCAAUAAUACAGAGUGGAAUUGAUGCUGUGCCAUUGCAGGUAGGGCCCCAAGUUGCCUGGCAGCUUCUGCUUCCUGCCUAUGGAAGCCAGCCACCAUGUAAGAAGUGCAGCUACCUGAGACCACUAUGUUGUGAGAAGCUCAAAUCUCACAGAGAGGCCCUCACAGAUGACAUGCCAUGUGGAGAGAGAAAACAAGGAUCAUGGAGGUACCAGACAUACACAUAAUCCAAGAUUCUGAGAGAGAAGGUGGCUUGCAGAUGGUCACCCAGUGAGCUGGCAGCAGGACUAGGACAAAGACUCUUUCAACUGCUCCCACAGUGUCUCUCCUUUCUCAGUGGCUUUUUGAAGAGAGGGGAACAAAAGGAGAAGAAGGUUUUAAGGAAAAGAUUGAGCAGCAACAUGG
Non-coding RNA from Delphinapterus leucas (beluga whale), 661 nucleotides. The record is from RefSeq and is a predicted model, not a curated record. Lineage: Eukaryota; Metazoa; Chordata; Mammalia; Artiodactyla; Monodontidae.